RNAcentral lists this ribosomal RNA (301 nucleotides) under uncultured bacterium. RNAcentral describes it as "partial 16S ribosomal RNA". It matches the Rfam family "Bacterial small subunit ribosomal RNA", at positions 509 to 808 of the family's 1533-position model. The record is from RNAcentral.
CAGUGCCGCGGUAAUACGUAGGUGGCAAGCGUUGUCCGGAAUUAUUGGGCGUAAAGGGCUCGCAGGCGGUUUCUUAAGUCUGAUGUGAAAGCCCCCGGCUCAACCGGGGAGGGUCAUUGGAAACUGGGAAACUUGAGUGCAGAAGAGGAGAGUGGAAUUCCACGUGUAGCGGUGAAAUGCGUAGAGAUGUGGAGGAACACCAGUGGCGAAGGCGACUCUCUGGUCUGUAACUGACGCUGAGGAGCGAAAGCGUGGGGAGCGAACAGGAUUAGAUACCCCAGUAGUCCCUGUCUCUUAUACA